GAUGAACGCUAGCGGCAGGCCUAAUACAUGCAAGUCGAACGGGAUCCAGAUCAAAGCUUGCUUUGGUCUGGUGAGAGUGGCGCACGGGUGCGUAACGCGUGAGCAACCUACCCUUGUCAGGGGGAUAGCCCGGCGAAAGUCGGAUUAAUACCGCAUGACAUCAUUGAGAGGCAUCUUUCGAUGAUCAAAGAUUUAUCGGACAAGGAUGGGCUCGCGUGACAUUAGCUAGUUGGUAAGGUAACGGCUUACCAAGGCUGCGAUGUCUAGGGGCUCUGAGAGGAGAAUCCCGCAAACUGGUACUGAGACACGGACCAGACUCCUACGGGAGGCAGCAGUAAGGAAUAUUGGUCAAUGGACGGAAGUCUGAACCAGCCAUGCCGCGUGCAGGAAGACGGCCCUAUGGGUUGUAAACUGCUUUUAUACGGGAACAAACGUCGGUACGUGUACCGGUCUGAGUGUACCGUAAGAAUAAGGAUCGGCUAACUCCGUG
RNAcentral lists this ribosomal RNA (490 nucleotides) under uncultured bacterium. RNAcentral's name for it is "partial 16S ribosomal RNA". It matches the Rfam family "Bacterial small subunit ribosomal RNA", at positions 28 to 507 of the family's 1533-position model. The record is from RNAcentral.